RNAcentral lists this ribosomal RNA (278 nucleotides) under uncultured bacterium. RNAcentral describes it as "partial 16S ribosomal RNA". It matches the Rfam family "Bacterial small subunit ribosomal RNA", at positions 506 to 784 of the family's 1533-position model. The record is from RNAcentral.
UGCCAGCCGCCGCGGUAAUACGUAGGGGGCGAGCGUUAUCCGGAAUCAUUGGGCGUAAAGGGUGUGUAGGCGGUUUGUUAAGCGAGAGGUGAAAGGCUAUGGCUCAACCAUAGUAAGCCUUUCGAACUGGCGAACUUGAGUGCAGGAGAGGAGAGCGGAAUUCCUAGUGUGGCGGUGAAAUGCGUAGAUAUUAGGAGGAACACCAGUGGCGAAGGCGGCUCUCUGGACUAUAACUGACGCUGAGGCACGAAAGCGUGGGGAGCAAACAGGAUUAGAUA